This 198-nucleotide ribosomal RNA is filed under the name uncultured bacterium. RNAcentral describes it as "partial 16S ribosomal RNA". It matches the Rfam family "Bacterial small subunit ribosomal RNA", at positions 328 to 539 of the family's 1533-position model. The record is from RNAcentral.
ACGCUCGACACCUACGAGAGGCAGCAGUGGGGAAUAUUGCACAAUGGGGGAAACCCUGAUGCAGCGACGCCGCGUGAAGGAAGAAGUAUUUCGGUAUGUAAACUUCUAUCAGCAGGGAAGAAACUGACGGUACCUGACUAAGAAGCACCGGCUAAAUACGUGCCAACAGCCGCGGUAAUCUGAGCGGGCUGGCAAGGC